GACACAGUCUGUCAGUUCUGUGCUAUGCACGUAGGCAUGUGGACACAAUCUAGCUAUCGUGUUACUCUUAUUUUAUAAAGAACAAGGCUCGGGCAGGAUGACCCAGCUGGCCGCCCGGCUCAGCGCUGAGGCGGCAGGGCGCAGCCCAGAGCCCUCGCCUUGGACAGGCGGGAAUCCUCCUCACAGCGAACUGCUUGGAGCUCAGCACACCCGCCCCUCCCACUGGAGGGAGGGAGGCCAUCACCAGUCAGAGUGCCGGGGGCAGCCGCCCAUUCCUGCGUUUUAUCAAGUGCCCAGGUUUAAAACACUGCUCUUGUUCCCCCGUCUCUGGCAUCUGGAAAAGGAAGUGAGAGAGGAGCACAGAGCAUAAUCCAUCCUGAAGACUUGCAUCUUCACUCUCCUGUGGGAAACUUUGACGUGUGGAAGCUGCCAGGGCGUAGCUACAGCUGCAUUCUUCAGCAUCCCUGCUCGACACGUAAGGGUUGCUGCUGUUCCCAGUGCCCUGCCAGAUCAGUUUUGGUGGCUCAAAAUCAUGACGUUUGUGUGAUGGGCCUGGAAAAGAUGACACAGAACUGAGCAAAUGCCUUCUCUGGACUUCAGCUUCCCUCUUGAUACAAUGAGAAUGAAACUGCAAUUCACUUCACCAUCUCUGGAAAGGAAAACUGGGUGUAUAUGGAGGAUCCUCUUUCAUAGUAAA
This is a long non-coding RNA of Gallus gallus (chicken), 697 nucleotides long. RefSeq lists it as uncharacterized. The transcript has 4 exons. Lineage: Eukaryota; Metazoa; Chordata; Aves; Galliformes; Phasianidae. The record is from RefSeq and is a predicted model, not a curated record.